Drosophila gunungcola (fruit fly) is the source of this 752-nucleotide long non-coding RNA. RefSeq lists it as uncharacterized. NCBI's taxonomy places the organism in Eukaryota, Metazoa, Arthropoda, Insecta, Diptera, Drosophilidae. The record is from RefSeq and is a predicted model, not a curated record. The transcript has 3 exons.
AAUUGUUGCCUUUUUCUUAAUCAAACUAUCUAUGAUUUUAAUUUCGAGUUCUACUUACACCCAUCGGUCCCUACAGAGUUCAGUAUACAAAACCAUGUCGGAGAAAUAACACACAGGAAAUAGCAACACAAAAAAAACAAACAAAUUUAGUUUUAAGCCUAAAGUGAAAUAGUUUUGUGUACGCAUAUUGCUCAACCCUACGACAUUUUUGUAAAAUUUUUCUCUACUCGUCUGAUUAUACACGUCUUUAAAUGCCCACACUUAAAAGACACAAAACAGAAAAAAGAAGCGACAACAAAAGGCCGAGAUGAUGUGAAGCUGAAUGAACGCGACGCCAGUUGACACUUUGCUCUAACUAUAUGGAACGAUCAUAAAAAGACUGGAAAACAAUGAAGACAAAAGUGGGAAGGUAGACUAUAAUUCAAAUUCCCUGUUAAACACUUAAACCGAAUGGCAAACAAGUUAAGAGGAGGAUCAACCGUAUCUUGCAGUGCAGUUCAGUUCUCAAUCAAUUAACGACUUGACAAAUGAAGGCACGCACUUGAAAGUUCAAAAUCAGAUGUCCAACAAGAAUGAUUGGCCAUCUCUUCAUAGAAUUUCUUGGUAUUUGCGUAUAUACUGGAGUCAACCAUUGAGCUGCACCACCAAAACUAAAACCCCCCACAACUCUAUUGGAUCUUGUCCCUGCUCUUCGUGUCCGGCACUAUUAUUUGUAAACACAAAGAAACUAACAAAAAUACACUUGGCAAAUA